Non-coding RNA from Lyophyllum atratum, 85 nucleotides. NCBI's taxonomy places the organism in Eukaryota, Fungi, Basidiomycota, Agaricomycetes, Agaricales, Lyophyllaceae. The record is from the annotation of a GenBank genome assembly.
UCCCUCUUAGCUCAGUGGUAGAGCGCGUCACUAGUAUGGUUGUGAUCAUAUGACGAGGUCAGUCGUUCAAGUCGGCUAGAGGGAA